CGCGUCCCCGAGCGGAGACCGAGGCACUGCCCGCCCCAGCUGCUGCCCACGUCACAGUGCAGGCGGACCGGAGCCCCAGCGGCAGAGCAGCCUGCGCCCCGCGGGCCCCGCCGAAGAGUAGCGGCCCGGGGCGGGGGCUGGAGCGCGGGCGCCACGAGUCCCAGCACUGCCCGCCGCGCUGCCGGCGCCCCAGGCUGGAGGAGGAUGCCGGACCCGCAGGGAAUUCAUUCCUGUCCCAGCCCUGGCCGCCCUUCUGACGGAGGAGCGGCGGGCAAAACCCGCUGCCCCCCGAGCAGAAGCUGAGGGGAGACGCUAGGCAGCCUCGGGGCGACGGCGGCCAGUGGGCGCCGAGCGAGGAGCACGAAGAACCGGCUGCGGCCGGGCGAGGCGGCGGGAAGCGUUCGGAGCCGCUGCCGAAGCUUCCAGCAGAGCCCUCGAAGUCGUUCCGUUCCUUUCUUCUGUAAACACCUAAUUGCAAGCCCCCGUGGGCCAGGCAUGGGGUACCAGAGAUCAGUAAAGCGGAGUCUCUGCCCUCGGGACCCCGUGUGGCGAAUACAGUGUGGUAAAUGAAAUCACAAAUCGUGGGAAAUUGUGAAAGGAAUCACGUUCUGUACACACACGCGACAAACAGCUCAACACAUUUCACAUAUAUUUCAGUCCUCAUCUGUUCAGAAGCUACUAUUAAAAGCUACUAUUAUCCCACCUCACAGAGGAGGAAACCGAGGCUCAGUUGUGUAACUUCUUGCUCAGAGUCACACAGCUAAUAGUAAUACGGAAGCGGGGAUUCUUAAACUGCCUGAUUGACUCCAAAAUGGACUUUACUGCUUUCUACUGAUAAAAGAAUUUGAAAUGACACUCAGAGCUAACUCAGUCUUCUAGAACGCUGGAGCUGGGAGUCACUCUAGGGACAGCCCUUGUUCUGUAAACAAGGGAGCAACAGCCCUGACAGAGCCAACUGGCAGGAAGAGCCAGCAAAGUUGCCUGCAAGAGAGAGCACGUGGCCUGAGGGGUGAACCAGGGACAGCCUCUGAAGAGCGAAGGAUUUAUCUGAGCAGCCAAAUGUCCACUGACAGACAGGUCUGUGUGUGCUAGAGAAACUUGUUCCACAGCUCAGAUGAAAAACGUAUUGUGGAAUUCACCCACAAGGGGAA
RNAcentral lists this long non-coding RNA (1151 nucleotides) under Homo sapiens (human). RNAcentral's name for it is "HSALNT0361388". The record is from RNAcentral. Lineage: Eukaryota; Metazoa; Chordata; Mammalia; Primates; Hominidae.